Molecule: non-coding RNA, 209 nt
Organism: Pelobates cultripes (western spadefoot toad)
Lineage: Eukaryota; Metazoa; Chordata; Amphibia; Anura; Pelobatidae
Source: the annotation of a GenBank genome assembly
AUGAGAAAAAGCAUUCACUGUUUCAUUGCUGCGCUCUACACCUUGAAGUAAUACUGUAUUGAGGAAAAAGUAUACAUAAUACCACUAGGAUGAGUAACCAUAAAAUGUAUUGUAGCAUAAAUGUAGGCAUUAUAUGUUUAAUUGCAUGAUUUGUGUAUAGUAAUUAUGUUAAUCAGUAUGUUUUACAGUGUUUGCCAAUUCAACUUUCU